UAAUACAGAGGGUGCAAGCGUUAAUCGGAAUUACUGGGCGUAAAGGGCAGGUAGGUGGAUAGUAUAAGAGAGAUGUGAAAUCCCUGGGCUCAACCUAGGACGUGCAUCUGAGACUGACUAUCUAGAGUAUGGUAGAGGGAAGUGGAAUUUCCGGUGUAGCAGUGAAAUGCGUAGAUAUCGGAAGGAACACCAGUGGCGAAGGCGGCUUCCUGGACUAAUACUGACACUGAGCUGCGAAAGCGUGGGGAGCAAACAGGAUUAGAUACCCUGGUAGUCCACGCUGUAAACGAUGAGAACUAGCUGUUGGAAGAGGAAACUCUUUUAGUGGCGUAGCUAACGCGCUAAGUUCUCCGCCUGGGGAGUACGGUCGCAAGAUUA
Molecule: ribosomal RNA, 378 nt
Filed under: uncultured bacterium
Lineage: Bacteria
Description: bacterial SSU rRNA
Rfam family: Bacterial small subunit ribosomal RNA
Source: RNAcentral